ACUAGGAUUAGAUACCCUAUUAUUAAAAUUUAAAAUUAUAAUACUAAAAUAGUAAUUAAUUAUUUAUUGAAACUUAAAUAAUUUGGCGGUAUUUUAGUUCAUUUAGAGGAAUCUGUUUAAUAAUUGAUAUUCCACGAAUAAAUUUACUUAAUUUAUGAUUUUGUAUAUCGUUGUUAUAAAAAUAUUUUUUAAUAAAAUUAAUAUUUUAAAAUUAUUAUAUAAAUUUAAAUCAGAUCAAGAUGCAGAUUAUAAUUAAGAAUAUAAUGGAUUACAAUAAA
RNAcentral lists this ribosomal RNA (278 nucleotides) under Acrapex kafula. Its description in RNAcentral is "partial 12S ribosomal RNA". The record is from RNAcentral. Lineage: Eukaryota; Metazoa; Arthropoda; Insecta; Lepidoptera; Noctuidae.